RNAcentral lists this ribosomal RNA (300 nucleotides) under uncultured Streptomyces sp. RNAcentral's name for it is "bacterial SSU rRNA". The stretch from base 52 to 300 matches the Rfam family "Bacterial small subunit ribosomal RNA", at positions 547 to 795 of the family's 1533-position model. Lineage: Bacteria; Bacillati; Actinomycetota; Actinomycetes; Kitasatosporales; Streptomycetaceae. The record is from RNAcentral.
UGGAUGUGUGGGCCAGGGGGCUGGGGAAGACCGAGGGGGCAAGCGUGGUUGGUAAGUACAGGGCGGAAAAGGCGCGUAGGCGGGCUGCUAAGUCGAACGUGAAAUCCCCGGGCUCAACCCGGGAACUGCGUCCGAGACUGGCAGGCUUGAAUCCGGGAGAGGGAUGCGGAAUUCCAGGUGUAGCGGUGAAAUGCGUAGAUAUCUGGAGGAACACCGGUGGCGAAGGCGGCAUCCUGGACCGGCAUUGACGCUGAGGCGCGAAAGCCAGGGGAGCAAACGGGAUUAGAUACCCCUGUAGUC